RNAcentral lists this ribosomal RNA (367 nucleotides) under Salamandra salamandra gallaica (Portugese fire salamander). RNAcentral describes it as "partial 12S ribosomal RNA". It matches the Rfam family "Bacterial small subunit ribosomal RNA", at positions 794 to 1384 of the family's 1533-position model. The record is from RNAcentral. Lineage: Eukaryota; Metazoa; Chordata; Amphibia; Caudata; Salamandridae.
GCCUAGCCAUAAACUUUGAUUAUCCGCCAGAGUACUACGAGCUACAGCUUAAAACUCAAAGGACUUGGCGGUGCUUUACACCCCCCUAGAGGAGCCUGUUCUAUAAUCGAUAAUCCCCGAUAAACCUCACCACCUAUUGCCAAUACAGCCUAUAUACCACCGUCCAGCCCGCCCUUUAAAGGGCAAACAGCAGGCAUAAUUAUAAACAUAAAAACGUCAGGUCAAGGUGUAGCAGAUAAGGUGGAAAGAAAUGGGCUACAUUUUCUAACUUAGAAAACACGGAUGAUUCUAUGAAAUAGUUUCUGAAGGAGGAUUUAGCAGUAAAAAGAAAUAAGAGUGUUCUUUUUAAAACGGCAAUAAAGCGCGC